RNAcentral lists this ribosomal RNA (253 nucleotides) under uncultured prokaryote. Its description in RNAcentral is "partial 16S ribosomal RNA". It matches the Rfam family "Bacterial small subunit ribosomal RNA", at positions 525 to 777 of the family's 1533-position model. The record is from RNAcentral.
ACGGAGGGUGCAAGCGUUAUCCGGAUUCACUGGGUUUAAAGGGUGCGUAGGCGGGUUGGUAUGUCAGUGGUGAAAUCCCCGAGCUUAACUUGGGAACUGCCAUUGAUACUAUUAAUCUUGAAUACCGUGGAGGUCGACGGAAUAUGUCAUGUAGCGGUGAAAUGCUUAGAUAUGACAUAGAACACCAAUUGCGAAGGCAGCUCGCUACGCAUAUAUUGACUCUGAGGCACGAAAGCGUGGGGAUCAAACAGGA